GAUGAAGAACGCAGCGAAAUGCGAUAAGUAGUGUGAAUUGCAGAAUUCAGUGAAUCAUCGAAUCUUUGAACGCACAUUGCGCCCUAUAGUAUUCUGUAGGGCAUGCAUGUUCGAGCGUCAUUUGUACCUUCAAGCUUUGCUUGGUGUUGGGUGUUUGUCCUCUCCCUGGUGUUUGGACUCGCCUUAAAACAAUUGGCAGCCAGUGUUUUGGUAUUGAAGCGCAGCACAAUUUGCGAUUCUGGCCUUAAAAUACUAGCGUCCAUAAGUACAUUCUCACUUUUGACCUCGGAUCAUGUAGGGAUACCCGCUGAACUUAAGCAUAUAAUAAGCGGAGGA
This 336-nucleotide unclassified non-coding RNA is filed under the name soil metagenome. RNAcentral's name for it is "partial contains 5.8S ribosomal RNA, internal transcribed spacer 2, and large subunit ribosomal RNA". The stretch from base 1 to 120 matches the Rfam family "5.8S ribosomal RNA", at positions 35 to 154 of the family's 154-position model. The record is from RNAcentral.